This 23-nucleotide unclassified non-coding RNA is filed under the name Mus musculus (house mouse). Its description in RNAcentral is "oocyte_clustered_small_RNA2609". The record is from RNAcentral. Lineage: Eukaryota; Metazoa; Chordata; Mammalia; Rodentia; Muridae.
UGCCAUACGCUUUCCACUCCGCC